RNAcentral lists this ribosomal RNA (460 nucleotides) under uncultured bacterium. Its description in RNAcentral is "partial 16S ribosomal RNA". It matches the Rfam family "Bacterial small subunit ribosomal RNA", at positions 338 to 795 of the family's 1533-position model. The record is from RNAcentral.
CCUACGGGAGGCAGCAGUGAGGAAUAUUGGUCAAUGGGCGCGAGCCUGAACCAGCCAAGUAGCGUGAAGGAUGACUGCCCUACGGGUUGUCAACUUCUUUUAUAAAGGAAUAAAGUGAGGCACGUGUGCCUUUUUGUAUGUACUUUAUGAAUAAGGAUCGGCUAACUCCGUGCCAGCAGCCGCGGUAAUACGGAGGAUCCGAGCGUUAUCCGGAUUUAUUGGGUUUAAAGGGAGCGUAGAUGGGUUGUUAAGUCAGUUGUGAAAGUUUGCGGCUCAACCGUAAAAUUGCAAUUGAUACUGGCAGCCUUGAGGACAGUUGAGGUAGGCGGAAUUCGUGGGGUAGCGGUGAAAUGCUUAGAUAUCACGAAGAACGCCGAGUGCGAAGGCAGCUUACGAAACUGCCACUGACAUUGAUGCUCGAAAGUGUGGGUAUCAAACAGGAGGAGAGAGCCUUGGAGGC